CGGAGCCUAAGGGAACAAUUACUUGGAGACAUGUCAUAGAAUUGGAGUAUAUUGGGUUCUCUGGUAAGGUCACCAACGGAAUCGAGUUGGUUCGUUCCAAGCCCGUAUUGAUGACACCUGUCGAAUCACGGGCCGUUUUCUUGGGAGCUCUGUGGAGUCCUCUGGUUGGUUCCACCUCCUCCACCAAUAUCUCCAGAUCCGGAGCACUCUUCUCCACCCUUUCUUGGGAUCCCUCGCGAGAUUGCAGUUGCGAAAGCAGGUGUGCUGAUCGGCCGGCGGCGGUUUGUCAACUCGGUUCGUGGGUACAUGUGGUUUCUCCGAUGAUGGGAGGGGCGAUCGACUACUUCUAUGUGCUCGAGCGACUUGGUUCCGUGGCGGAGAUUUGUGAAUUCCAUGGUCUUGUGCGUGUUCUCUGUUUGGUGAAGAACGUUGAAUGUUUCAUGCAGGUCACCUGUUUGAUGAUAUUUUACAGAGACAUCUCUCCUCGGUGAUGAGCUGUUAUGCGAUCCUAGGUAAGGCAUGCAGAAGAAGCGUUCUAAUUAUCAUUUUGUAGAAAUGAAUUAAACGGGAUGCCGCCCUGGAACUGAGGAGACAUGUCUAGGUGGAUGCUUCCGCUAUUACUAUGACAACAUUAGGUGGGCCUUUUUUCUGCAGCUGAAGGCUAAGGAGAUGAUACUUAUUCUCUGCUAAAGAAGCCACCCGGUUGUUCUGGAAUUCGUGAUGAAGGAGCUAGAUGGGUAUCUUGCGAUAUAUUUAAGGGAGCAGUCCCUCAACCAUUCAUUGUUCCAGUACUUCUAUAGAUUGGGAUCAACAACCGCCCAAGAAGAAGCAUACAGAGACCUCGAAAGAUUAUCCUGCACUAACCUGAAAUACAUUAUACAAUUCCUAAAUGAUUAUAUGAGGCUUGUAUCCAAGACAGGACGGUUAUUCACAAGCCCAGAGCUCUCGGAAAAAUUAUGGUCAAAGAUGCCUGGAGAGCUGGGAAGAAAGAUAAAGGGAGCGUUCGAAGCUAAAUACAGGGGAAAUACGAUAGGGGUCAUCCCAAGAAUUCUUUUCUCCUACAAAUACUUAGAAGCAGAAUACAAAGAUGCUGUAUUCAAAAGGGCAUUAAAAGACUUAUCUUUCUGCAGUGAGAUGUCAAAGACAUGAUUUGAUGAGAUUCAUAUCAACCAUGAAAUUUGUAUUUCUUUUAUGUUUAAAAUAUUAGAAGAUAAUCGAGCAUUUAUUUUUGUUAUUCAUAUAUUUUCUACCUUUUAUGUUAAUUUCUUAGCAUUUUCUUAAUUCAUGUUAGAGAACAAACUUGUAUUAUAAUUUUUGUAGCUUAACACAGUGUUCAGGUUUGUUGAUAUAUGUAUAUAUAUGUACAUAUAUAUAUGUACAUAUAUAUAUAUGUACAUAUAUGCACAUAUAUGUACAUAUAUACAUGUACAUGUAUGUAUGUACAUAUAUAUCAACGAGUCUGAACUGUGCUAAGCCACAAAAAUUGUAAUACAAGUUUGUUCCCUAGCAUGAAUUAAGAAAAAACUAAGAAAUUAACAUAAAAUAUAGCAAACAUAUGAAUAGAAAAAAUGCUAGUGAACAAACUUGUUUUAUAUAUAUAUAUAUAUAUAUAUAUAUAUAUAUAUAUUAGUGAAUGAUCCAUGGAGCAUACAAGAUAUAUUCUUUUUCUGUGUCUCAGGCAAUAGAGAAACUAAUUGAUUGCUUAACCAGUGUCCCUUUAUUUAUCUGCUGCUACCUGCCUAUGCUUUUAUUUUCUUUCAUUUCAUUCAGAUGACUUUUUGAUGUGCAUAGGAUGCCUGACACCUUUUAUUCAUUAGAUAGGUGGCACUGUAUGAGAGAUCCAGUGCCAUGUUCGUGGAGGUCUGAAAGAAAAAUCUUGACAAUGCAGCACUGAUUACACUUAGUCAUGUAACAUGCAUCUUUGUUAAGUUUUAACAAAGGUUUUUUUACCUCUUAUUUGAUGUGUUUGUAGUCUUCAAUGUUGAAAAUCUUUGGCUGGAUCAAAUCUUUAGUGAUAGAAUAUACUGCUUAUGUUUUUCCAUCUGAGUAAGGAAAUAGUUGCUUUUCAACCUAUGCUAUGUGUUUGUAAUCUAUAGUUGCUUUACCAUCUGAAUAAAAAGUGCCACUUAAUUUUUUUUUCCAUCUGAAUUUGAAAAUAGUUGCAUCACUAAACCUUAAACCUGUCAUUAGACGCUCCUAUCAGAAAAAGUAAGUAGUUUCUCAAACCAAAUUUAGAUUGAAUUCAGUCACCAACUUGUAACAGCCUCCUAUACUGAAUGAUGAAACAAUGUUUGGAUAUAACAGAUCUUUGAUCUACUAACUACUACAUUGUCGUAUUCUGCUAAGCUAUUUACAUUGAUCCAAUUCAGAACUGUCGCAUGUUGGUAUGAUUUGGCCUCAGCAAUGGAGAUACAAAGGAUUGGAAGUAGUAAUCUUGGUUCGUUGCAUCUGAAAUGGGUGUUGAUCCGAAGUUGGUGUGCUCAAUGCUUGCACUCCAGUAGAAGCUUGGGAUAGAUAGCCUAGAUCAUCAAAAUCUGGUAACACGACCUCAUUUUCUACAUCUGAUUCUGGUGUCCUGAAGCUGUCGGACAGUGCAUCAUCCACUGAUUGCAUGGUCUCUCCAAAGGAUGUCUCCUGUUUCUGCAUCUUCGUCUUCUCCCAGUACCUGGAAGUUCCCAAGGCUCGUACUUGUAGAGAUCGAUCUCGGCGAUGAUGGGCACAGGCAGGCACUGGCAGGCGGUCUUGCGGCAGAGAUAGUGCACAACGAGCUCCUCGUCUGUGGGGUGGAACCGGAACCCCGGCGGCAAAUUGAGCUCCGCUUCGGCGUCUCUUGUCCUCCCCAUGGUCGUCUUCUCCGCUGGACUAACUAAUGAUCUCUAGUGGUUGUGAAGAUUUCUUGGUCGUGGAGUGAGUUCUAUAUAUAGCGAAGGGUCUGCGUUUUUCGGUGGGCCCAGGGACCACAAGUAGGAUCCGGGAACCUUCGUGUGUGCGUUUGGUCAGAGGCGGUCGACCCACGUUGGUCAAAAUGGAUACUGUUGUGCUCGUGUCCACUGAAACCUGCCUGUGUUGCUGCCAGUUUGUUUGUGGAGGAAACUUAUAUAGUAUACAAAAAGUAUUUUAUUUAAAUAAUUUGUUUUUUAUUCCAUAAGUUUUUGAGUCAUAUUUAAUAUAAAUAUGCUUUUAUUUUGGCUAGGCUGGAAUUCUAAAACCUUUUUGAUUGGAGAAUUCGUUUGACCGUACGAUUUGAUCCUUUUAAUCAGAAAUUGUUAUUUUCUAGGCGCUCAUUUCUAUAAGCUCGAUAUUUUUUCUUCCUUGUUUUUUAUAUAUAUUUUUUUCAGAGAGGUGCUAACGACGAGUCUUUUUUUGAGAAUGUUCUUAUCGUUACAAUUAAGGGUGAUGGUUUCUACAAUGAUAACUUCUGAAAACGUAGAGGUAUGUCGACAAGAUGGGAUUAUAAUCGAUGAUGUUAAUGAGGUCGACGUUAUUGGAGGGAGGGAGCGGCGAUGCGAUUGGAUGCAUCUGCCUUUAAUGCUCUUUUUUAAGUGAGGUCGGGUUGAAGUGAGAACACCGGAUGACGGAUGGAUCCAUUGAACCCGAAGAAGAUAAAUAUUGGAGGGGGGAGAGAGUGGGGGACAGUUCAUUGCGACUGCAAUGAACGCAUGUAGAAAUCGCCGAACAAUACGGGCGUCUCGUGGGGCAGAGGCGACUUGUCGUGAUGUCACUGCCGACGCCCAAGAGAAACCCCUGCACUGCAUCCGUGCGUGCGGGUGCAUUGCAUCUGGUCGUCUCGUGUUUGAUGACGACGACUUCUGUUUGGAUAUUCUUUUCUCGUCCCAAAGCUUCUUUCUCACCGAUUGGGUGGUCUCUUUCUUGUUCGGAAAGCAAACCCGCUGCUCUUUGACGGCCGAGCCGACUCCAGUUGUCUACACCGGUCCGAGUCACAACGGGAUUGAUUGAUGGAACCCUUUGUUUGUUGAAUUUUCCUGUUUUUAUUUGAGAUUUUAGCAUAAAAAAAAGGAAAAAGAAAAAGAAAACGACAAAUGUUCACAAUGCUCGGAACUAUACUUGCUGGAGCCACGUUUGGAAUUUGGUAUCCAAUUGGAUGGGUAAAAUUGAUCCCUUUUUUUUUUUUUUGAAUUUUAUGGCACUUAUGCAAUAAAUUUUGUUGAUUUAUUUUGUCUUUUUUUUUUGUUUUUUGACUGGUUGGGUUUGAUGCAAAAUGUAAAAUUAUGUUAAGAGUUUUAUCCAUUCAUGAAAAUUUAUUAUAAAUUUAUGAAUCGUCGGGGUGGAAGUACCAACAACCGACUCUGCUGCAGGCUAAUCCUUCUUCUUCUGUUUUCUGGCGAGAGGUGAGUUUGAAACCUUCAAAUAUCAUUUGACUAAUGGCGGCUUAGAAAAAUCAUAGCCGCCGACACAGUCAUAGAUGGGGACAGAUGUUUAGUAGAAGGGCGUGACCGGAUCCGAUUUAUUCAUGUCCUUUUUUGUUUUCUCGUCACGUGUCAAAAUUUUCGUCUAAUUUAAUCCACACUUUCAUGUACAUUGAUUUUGUUUUUGUUUUUUGUUUUUUGUUUUUGUCUAAUAGAUGAAAGAAAGCUCCUUCUAGGCUCUGCUACUUUCCACCGGAAUGUACUAUCAAAUUUUGACCCACCAAUUAUGCAUGUGUUAGGAGUAAAUAUUUCUUUUAGCAAUUAGAGUUGAUAGUGACUCGUAUUAUCUUCGCAUUGGACUCGUGAAUUGGGUCAUUGUCUUAUUGGUCUUUCUUCAUGGUUGGUUGGUAUUCUCCUUUGGACGUCAAACCUUAUCUGCUUCGCCCAUUCGCACCCAUGGAUGCGUCAUCUCCAUCAAACACGUGACCGUGCCACGUGAAGGUGGGCAUGGCCACCCACUUGGUCCGCCCAAUCUUAUCGCGUAUCCAUGACUCUGUUUCCCUGGGUUGUUGGAUUCCAAUGAGAAGAAGUGAUCCUAAAUCUCCUCGCACUCAACAUGGAUAAUCCUAUUUUUGUUCCUAUCAACAUUGAUCAAUCAAUUCCAAUCAUCCAUCGAUCAGUGUGUCAUUCCUUCUCGACUUUGUCACUUGCAUGCUGAUGUGUUGCCAAGAAUUGCCACCUAGCCCUACCAACUCAAGGAAAA
Long non-coding RNA from Musa acuminata AAA Group (dessert banana), 5130 nucleotides. RefSeq lists it as uncharacterized. The record is from RefSeq and is a predicted model, not a curated record. The transcript has 5 exons. NCBI's taxonomy places the organism in Eukaryota, Viridiplantae, Streptophyta, Magnoliopsida, Zingiberales, Musaceae.